AACUUGUUCCCAACAUCAGAAUUUAGGAAUACUUUUAAGUAACCCUUUUCAAACUAGAAUUGCACUUGAUCAAGCCCAGUUUGGUCCAAGUCGGUUCAUAUCAGCCCACUCAGCCUGUACGAAGCUCCUGCAUGUGGAAAGCUGGUGUAAGAUCAGAAAACUAAAGUCCUGCAGGAGUAUUGUGCAAAGGAGUGCUGUGAUAUUUGCCCACUGUGAUGCCUAAUAUAAUGCAGUUCUUCCAGAAGCAAUGAUCUAAUCUGCAGUCAGGCAUGUAGUUGGGCAUGCACUCACUCUCCGUAUUACAGAGCCACUGGAAUAAGGAAUAAGUGAAAUAAUGCACCUACUGUCUAAUGGUUAGAUGUUAUGACUUCCUGUGUGGCAGCAUAGCUUAUCAGAGGAGGUACUGCUAUGUGUACAGUUAUGUACAUCAUCCCAAAAACUGAUGAAAUCAGUUUCUGUGAUCAGUUAAUGAGGCCUAAUGUGGAACUACCUGUAGGCUGAUUUUCUUUUGGAAGCAGGCCAGGAUGCUGGAGAAUAGUCAUGGGCAAUGCGUGUGGAUCCGGCCAGCUUUCUUGUACCAGGAGCCUCUUCUCUGUGCUUGCAGGGACCCAGCAAACGUGUACAGCCAGAGCAAAUUGGCAGAGUUCUGUGCAGGAGAAAGACGAGGAAGAGUGAUGACAAUGCAGGCUGUUAAAAUGUCAGAUGGUAAAAACAACCAAGAGUUCCAGAUGGGGCAAUUGGAAGAGAAACAUGCUGAAGAUGAUAAUAAGAAAGUUCUGGAUUCUCUCAAUUGGGAAUCCCAUGUCCUCACCUGUGACUUCCAAAUGCAAUCACUAUUCAAGUCUUGUGCAAAGCAGCACGUCAUGAGGAAGUUCUUCGUUAUCAGGUGCUCUCUCAUUUGGCCAGGAGUGUUCGACCAAACCAUAUUAGGUCCAUGUCAUGAGGAGUUCAGAGGAAACAUCACAGAGCUCUUUGCUGUUGAGUGGGAGGUCAUGAAGAGUUUGGAGUCUGGCUGUGGUGCUGAUAUGUACGAUGGGUUGGUGGAAAGAAGACAAGCCUGUGAGAGAUGCAACAUGCUGGUGCAUUUGAGAUAUGUGAACAUAAAACAAGCACCCAGUUUAUGUUGGUCUUUGUGCUAGCAUUGCUUCACAAGGCACUGGUGUUUGGUCUGGCUCAACUAGAUGCAGGCAUAUGCUUAGACUGCAGACCUACUGCCAAUGAUAUUCUUUCUGAAGCGAUUGCUAGGUAAGUCAAUUAUGUCACUCCUCUUAGAAUGGGAACUAUUAAUUACGUGAAUUAGAGAGACACAGCAAAAAUGAUCAAAGCAGGUGGUGAAAUGGGAUACCAAGAUACACAGUGUGGUUUAAUGCUCAUGAUGCCUGUUCACUGCGAAUGCCUUUGAAGAUGGGUGAUACGUAAUGUUUCUAAUUGAUUAUAUUAGUAAGGGUGUUAUCUGGAGGGCAUUUGAUGCAGAUUCAGGAAAUCUGGCUCUGUUUCUUGGUAUUUCAUUGGCCAGCUGAGCAAGUUAAUUCCUUUUUCUUUGCCUUAGUUGUUCCACCAUUAAAAGGCAGAUAAUCACCCAUAAAAUGGAAAUAAUUAUACUGUCCUGUUUGAAAAGGGUGUAGAGACCAACUGAUUACAAGUUCUGGAUGCAUUUUUGAAGUUAUUACUAUUUGCUUUGUUUAGAUAAGUUAAUAAUAACAGACACGUCAGCGUCAGUGGAUGUGCGACUUGCUUUGAGCUGGCAAGAAGAGAUGGGAACUUGAAUCAUUAUUGAUUUUCACUUUAAAGGUCUCUGCUAGCAAUUUAUUUAAAGGAAACAAUAAAGGUUGAUGCCAGAACUCUUCUUUUUGCU
Long non-coding RNA from Meleagris gallopavo (turkey), 1855 nucleotides. The record is from Ensembl. Lineage: Eukaryota; Metazoa; Chordata; Aves; Galliformes; Phasianidae.